Molecule: long non-coding RNA, 2522 nt
Organism: Patella vulgata (common limpet)
Lineage: Eukaryota; Metazoa; Mollusca; Gastropoda; Patellidae
Exons: 2
Source: RefSeq, a predicted model, not a curated record
UAUAAAAUUCAAUUAAGUAUAAAAUAUAAAGUAUAAUUAUAAAAUUCAAUUAAGUAUAAAAUAUAAAGUUUAAUUAUAAAAUUCAAUUGUAUAAUCACAUGUUUCUUAUUUGUUUUGGACCAAUUUAAUUUGAAUAUUAAUUUAUAUCUUAUGUUCUUAUAUUUUACUUUAGAUUAUAAUGUUUUGAUCUACAAAAUGCUUUUUAAAAAUUUCAAUAUUUGCUUUUGACCACACAAUGGGAAAUAUUUACGUACUGCAUCACAAUAAUAUGUUAUAUAGAUUUCGAUGUACAAAUACUAUGCUAGGGCAUGUAUUUAAACAAAAACGUAAAUGUACAUAAUGUUAUAAUGUUCUUAACGAAAGUCUUGUAAGAAUUUGUUAUAUUUAUUAAAGUUAGCUACGGUGUGAAACACUUUUGUUUUUGUCGGGCCACGGUGGCUAAGUAGGUAAGGCGCUGACUCGCUAGCCUGGAGGUCGGGUGUUCGAUCCAUGCAUUGGCCGAGAAAGUUCAUCCAGAUUUUCCGGCGUGGUUCCCCCUUGUCAGUGAUGCAGGACCGAGGGCCUGACAAGGACAGCUCUCUAGUCAUUCGGAUGGCACGAAAAACAGAGGUUCCGUGUACACAUUGGCGUGCACGUAAAUGAUACCUUGACAGUUGAAAUUCGAUAUAAGAGUAGGCCGUAGUGCGGGUAUCCGGGCAAAAUUUCCCUCAUAGCACACUGUAUGGCGUAUGUCCGUCUUCAUUAGCUCAAUCCGGAGCAGAACAGUAGGACGUUAAACACAUUUCAUUUCGGAUUAUUUUUGUCUAUUUUCCUUAUUUCUCAGAGACUACAUUUCGGGUUGUUGUUUUUUUUUUAUCUUCGAGUUUGAUGGAAAAGUGAGUGGUGGCUAGUGAAUAAGGCAAUUUACAAAACGUCACGGACAUCCGACCUCUAAAAAUAUAAUAUUCAAUACGUAGAAUUGUAACAGGUCGAGUUUUGAAUAUAUCGACACGUGUCACCUUCAGGCGAAUAUCAAGUUAUUAAAGCUACCCCCCCCCUUCAAAUUAGAUUCUUUCUUCAAUAAAAAGAGCACCAGUUGUUCGAUUGACACCGUCAGGCGAAUAUCAAGUUAUACAAGUUAUCUCCCCUUCAAAUUAGCGUCAAUAUAGAACACCAUUAAAGUUGUACAUUGAUUAGCAGUUGAUAUUCGCUACAAUCACUGAGAGGGAUGACAUCGGCGCGGGUUUAUUAGCUCAAAAUAUUAACUUUUUUCCUUCUAACUCAAUGUCAAAAACAAAACAAAGAAUUAGUAAACAAUUUAAUUUCUCUUUAAAACAUUGAUUUUAUUCUCUUAGAAACCUAAAUACAUGGACGUUAUAAUGUUAAUAUAUGUUGAUAUAAUAAAACGAUAAUAAUACAACGAUAAUAAUUUGUAGACCUUAGUAUUAUUAGUAUCAUUCAGCCAAAGGAAUAAAUAUAACUUGGUAUUGUUCAUUGAAACAUUCUUAUCAAUUUAUAUUUUAUAAGUAGAAGACGUUUAUAAGUUGCUAGAUAUUUUGGGCUGUUCCCACUUACCCCGCAGGCUUUGAUGUCAAAUUUUGCCGCUAAUCCAGAGUUAAUCCUAGAACAAUGGUGUUAUAAACUAUAGUCCAUAUCUUUUUUAAGACUAAAACUGUAUUGAUUUUAACAAAUUUAACUGUUAUUAAAUAACAUUAAAUAGCUUACACAUAUAAAAAUAUAUUGAUUUUAACAAAUUUAAUAUUUAUUAAAUAACAUUAAAUGAUUUACACAUAUAAAAAUGCAUUACAAUUUACACAUUUAACUUUUAUUAAAUAGCAUUAUAUAAUUUAUAAAUAAAUGCCUUACAACAUAACAAUCAUUUUACAGCCCCACUAAAUAGGAAAUAUUUGUUCCAUACCGAUUUACACUUAAAGAGCAAUUUAAUAACUGUGUUUUCAAAUGUUCAAUUCUUGUAUCAAGUUGUCGAUAUUUCUUAACUCGAGGCCUAUUUAUAUUAAUAUAGUGAAUUGAAUUCAUGUUUGAAAUCAUAACGCCGGCAUGAACUGUGUUCAAAAUGUCAUUAAUUAGUUGGUUAAUAAAUUUUAUUAAGAGGGAUUAAGGGCUCAUUAACGCUGAACACUAGUGAACAGUUCUUGAGUGACUACUUUUAAACAGACUAUAGUUUUAAGAUCAAUCAAAGGAUUAACAGUCUGCCGGCUAAGUGGGAACACACCGAUAUUUUAUCUAAUUCGUUUGUAUUGUUGAUGCAAUAAAAUAUGUCUAAAGGGAACACCUCACUUUCCCCACAUCUAUUGUUUUGUGCCUGGGUCAUUUAAAAUGAUUUAAAUAAUAUUAGUGAAAAAGAUUACAUGUAAAAAAUACAUAUAAUAUGGAUUCUUACAUUAUAGCGUUUCCAGUAUAAAUAUUUAUAAGUAUUAGCAAUGUAUCAAAAGUUAACCAGAGCGUUCGCCAUUUUGGAAUGACUAUUUGUGAUUCAGGGGAGCUAUAAUAUAUAUCAACUGAUAAACUGUGAUUAAAUAUCA